Small nucleolar RNA from Aotus nancymaae (Ma's night monkey), 122 nucleotides. The record is from Ensembl. NCBI's taxonomy places the organism in Eukaryota, Metazoa, Chordata, Mammalia, Primates, Aotidae.
GGGCCCCUUUAAGGCUGAUGUAAUGCUUUAAGAGGCUAACACAGAAGGGUAAAGCCAGUCUCCUUAAAACCCAAAGCAGAGAUUAUAAAAUGUCUCUUUGGAUCCUGUCUGGAGUCACAGCU